Molecule: long non-coding RNA, 318 nt
Filed under: Phoenix dactylifera (date palm)
Lineage: Eukaryota; Viridiplantae; Streptophyta; Magnoliopsida; Arecales; Arecaceae
Description: long non-coding RNA (PDAC_LNC016514)
Source: RNAcentral
CAAAUACUCCAAUCUUAAGGAAAAGCAAAACAAGCAUAAUAUAUUCGGGACAUUUGUGAGACGUUUGGAAGGGAUAAAAUCUGUAAUUAAUUACACUCAAACAGGGAGAGUUAGAAGUGAACAUUUUAACCUUUCUAUAUUGCUCAUCAUAGGGAUGGUGCCAAUGGGGAGGCUAGUGGUAGUACCCGGCACUAUUUGACCCAACUAUUCGGUGUAGGGCAUAUUAGGGACGGCACAAGAGGGAGGCUAGUGGUAGUACCUCGUGCCCCUUCCCAACUCCACCGGAUAGGGAGCAAAUAGAGUAUAGAGCAUAAGAAA